RNAcentral lists this long non-coding RNA (11097 nucleotides) under Homo sapiens (human). RNAcentral's name for it is "HSALNT0385862". The record is from RNAcentral. Lineage: Eukaryota; Metazoa; Chordata; Mammalia; Primates; Hominidae.
UAUUUUAGUAUAGACAGAGUCUCACCUUAUUGCCCAGGCUGGUCUCAAACUCCUGAGCUGAAGCAAUCCGCCCAUCUCAGCUUCCCAAAGUGCUGGAAUUAGAGGCAUGAGCCACUGUGCCUGGCCUAUUUUAUUUUAAAGAUGAGGCCUCACUUUGUCACCCAGGUUGGAGUGCAGUGGCGUGAUCAUAGUUCACUGCCAUUUUGCCCUCCUGGGCUCAAACAGUACUCACGACUCAUCUUCCUGAGUAGCUAGGACUGCAGGCAUGUCGCUAGCAUGCCCAGCUAAAACAGUUCUUUAUAUUCUAGAUCGGGGUGUCCAAUCUUUUGACUUCCCUGGGCCACAUUAGAAGAAGAAGAAUUGUCUUGGGCCACACAUAAAAUACACUAACAGUAAUGACAGCUGAUGAGCUAAAAAAAGAAUUACCAAAACAUCUCAUAAUGUUUUAAGAAAGUUUACAAGUUUAUGUUGGGCCACAUUCAAAGCCAUCGUGGGCCUCUGGCCGUGGGUUGGAUGAGCUUGUUCUAAAUGCUAGACCCUUAUCAGAUGGAUGGUUUGUAGAUAUUUAUCGCAUGCUGUGGGUUUUUUUUUUUUACUUUCUUUUAGGUUUUUUUUUUUCUUAAAUAAUUAAACUGAUUAAAAGCUUUAAUCUUUUCAUUUUCUUGAUAAUGUCUUUUAAAGCACAAAGUUUUGUUUCAAUGAUGUCUAAUUUGUCUAUUUUUUUUUCUUUGGUUGCUUGUCAUACGUAAGAAACUGUUGCUAAAUCCAGAAUGCUGAAGAUUUACUUGUGAACUUUGUUUCCUUCUAUGAGUUUUAUAGUUUUAGCUCUUGUAUUUAGGUCUUUGAUACAUUUUGAGGUUUUUUUGUUGUUGUUGAGACAACUCCAUCUCAAAAAGAAAAAAAAAAGAGAAUAAUGCUGCCAUCAUGCUUGAGGGUUUUUUUUUAUUUUGUUUUGUUUUGUUUGUGGGGGGAGCGGAGGGCACAGUCUCACUCUGUUACGCAGGCUGGAGUGUAGUAGGCUUACUGCAGCCUCCUCCGCCCCCUGGUUCUAGUGAUUCUUGUGCCUCAGGCUCCUGAGUAUCAUGCUGCAAUUUUUGUGUGAGCAUACAUUUUUCAUUUCUCUUGGGUCAAUAUCUAGGAGUAUCCCCACUUUUGGUUCUGAGUGUUAAUUGAGCCUGUUGUGUUCUCACAUUCCCUGUACUUAGAUGGAAAUAGUGCUUUGCCUAAAAAGAAAAUAAAAGACCUGAUUGUGCAGGCGAGUGAGAAAGAGAGAGAGGCGCUAGGGUUAUUUCCACCCUGAUACUCUUUGGGUAGUCUUGGUAUGACUAGCAAAGAAGCAAGCUCCAAGUUGUAGUUUGCUUCCAAGUUUCUGGCUUCUGUGGGAAUUUCUGCAUCUAAGUAAUGACAAUUUUCAGUUACUUGCAGUAAGUAAAUUAUCAACCAAUCUUACUGUGUAUUACUAGCCUAGUAGGAAUUUACUUGUAUAUCGAGAGGAAUGCUGCAGCUUUCACCUUACUUCUAAUGGGGAUUAAUGCUUACUUAACUUGCAGUUUUGGAGGCAAGUACAAAGUACAGGACCAAUUAUGGUCAUGAAGUGAGAGAGAAGUCUGGCUAGUGAAUGGUGAUUGGCAACUCCAGUUGACUGUUCAUGGCAUCUUAGAUCUGUGAGGAGGGAGGAGGGAAGGAAAGUUCAAGCUGGUCUUUAUGGUAAGUUCUGGAACAUUUCCCUGUGUCAAUGGGUCAUCUGUUCAUUCACUGUGUAAAAUGGUUGAGGGAAGUUUUAAUUUACAUGCUUCCUUAUUGUGUAAACCUUUGAUUUUUAGUGAUUUCAGAGUUUGUUUUUAUAAUUACUUAACACGUGAAGAGGAUGCAGAGUAACGUAUCGAAGCUCUGGUUACCUUCCACUGGGAUUUGACACAUUUGAUUUCCUUUAUUCCCUCCUUCCUUCCCUUCCUCCCUCUCUCUUUUCUUAAGGAAUGCAACUACUCAGAUUCACCUGCACACCCUUGGCAUACCUCUCACUCCCCCUUACCCCCACUUCCUCAGAGGUGACCUGUCCUCAGAGGCAAAUGUGUGCCCUUUCCAUCCGUACUUUUAUGCUCUCAUCUAUGUUUACAUCUAUUAGUACACUAUUGUCUGUAUUUUUAAACAUUACAUAAAUGGUGUAAUUUUUACUUUUAAUUCUGUAGUGGUGUUUCUCAAAUUAAGUUCUGCACAAAACAUUUUUAUAGAUAUCCAGUGUUAGCUUAACGUUUUUCUUAUUGUGGUAAAAUAUACAUAAGAUAAAAUUUACCAUUUUAGCCAUUUUUAAGUUUACAAGUCAGUGGCAUUAAGUACAUUCACAGUGUUGUAUAACCAUCACCAUUGUCCAUUGCCAGAACUUUUCAUCAUCCUAAACAGAAACUCUGUACUCAUUAAACAAUAGUUUAUCACUCCUUCCCUGCAACUAGAUGCUGGCAAUCACCAUUCUACUUUCUAUCUCUAUCAAUUUGCCUCUUCCAUCUAAGUGGAAUCCUACAUAUUUGUCGCUUUGUUUCUGGCUUUUUUUUCUUCUUGUGAUGCUUUGUUUUAAUUAUGUUCCUGGCUUUCAUCAUCUAGCAGGCUGAUUCCAAGGUUUGUCCAUGUGGUAGCUUGUAUCACUUUAAUGUUUUUAGAGAUAGUUAAUAUUACAUUGUUUAUAUAUACCACAUUUUGUUUUUUCAUUCAACCUUGAUGGACAUUUGAAUUGUUUCCCCCUUUACCUGUUGUGAAUAAUGCUGCCGUGAACAUUGAUAACCAAAUAUUUGUUUGAAUCUCUGAUUUCAGUUCUUUUGGUUCCAUACCUAGGAGUGGAAUUGCUGGAUCAUAUGAUAAUUCUAUGUUUAACUCUUUGAGGGAUGGCCAGACUUUUCCACCAUAGCUAAAUCAUUUUACCUUCCCACAAGCAAAGUUCAAGGGCUCCAGUCUCUCCCCAUAAGGUCCUUUGCACUUUUUUUUUUGAGACGGAAUCUCACUCUGUUGCCCAGGCUGGAGAACAGUGGCACCAUCUUGCCUGACCUCAAGUGGCACCUGCCUUGGCCUCCCAAAGUGCUAGGAUUGUAGGCGUGGGCCACUGCACUCUGCCAAUUUUUUAAUUUUUAUUUUCAUUUAUUUUUCUUUUUUUAAUUUUUAAUUUUUUUAUUUUUUGAAGGGAUAAGGUCUCACUUUGUUGCCCAGGCUGGUCUUGAACUCCUGGCUUCAAGCAAUCCUCCUACCUCGGCUUCUCAGAGUGCUGAGAUUAUAGGUGUAAGCCCCUGCACAUGGCCUUUACUCUCUUGAUAGUGUCCUUUGAUGCACAAAAGCUUUCAAUUUUGAUGAAGUUUAUUUUUUAUCUUGUUACCUGUACAUUUGGUGUCAUAUAUCUAAGAGACCAUUGCCAAAUGCAGUGUCAUGAAGCUUUCCCUCAGUGUUUUCUUUCUGCAGUUUUAUGAUUUUAGCUCCUAAGUUUAGGUCUUUGAUCCAUUUUGAGUUAAUUUUUGUAUACAGUUUGAGAGUCACACUUGAGGCUCUGGGCGCAGUGGCUCACGCCUGUAAUCCCACUACUUGGGGAGGCCGAGGCGGAUGGAUCACCUGAGGUCAGGAGUUUGAGACCAGCCUGGCCAACAUGCCGAAACCCUGUCUCUACUAAAAAUACAAAAAUUAGCCAGGCAUGGUGAUGCAUACCUGUGGUCCCAGCUACUUGGGAGGCUGAGGCAGGAGAAUUGCUUGAACACAGGAGGCGGAGGUUGCAGUGAGCCGAGAUUGUGCCACUGCACUCCAGCCUGGGCGACAGAGCGAGACUCCAUCGUGCGGGGUGGGGGGUAAAAGUCAAACUUGAGUCUUUUGCCUGUGGAUAUCCAGUUUUCCCAUCACUAUUUGUUGAAAAGACUAUCCUUUCUCAACUGUGAAUGGUCUUGGUACCCUAGCUGAAGUUAUUUUUAUUAUUAUGUUACUUAGGAAUGCACAUAAGGCCUGGCACGGUGGCUCAUGCUUGUAAUUGCAGCACUUUGAGAGGUCAAGGUGGGAGGAUUCCUUGAGCCGAGGAGUUUGAGACCAGCCUGGGCAAUAUAGCAGCAAGACCCCAUCUCUAUAUUUUAAAAAAAGAAGAAAAAAAAACCUCUGAUGCAUAAAAUAUUUAAACUUGUAUGCAUUCUUUUCUUUCUUUAUUUUUUAAAAAUUGAGACAGCAGCUUACUCUGUUGUCCAGGCUGGUCUUGAACUCCUGGGCUCAAGCAGUUCCUCUCACCUUGGCCUGCAGUGCUGAGAUGACAGGUGUGAACCACUACACCUGGCCUGCUUACAGAUUAUAAAAAGAAAAUAAGUUUACAAGUUAAAGACAGAUAAAAUGACAAAAUCAGUAAAAUUAAAAUUACUUUUAUGGAGCCGAUGAUGUUUAUUCCAGUUGCUCCUCUCAUUGUGAAUAUGGUAUUGUUGCUGUGGCAGAUUUGGAGGCCGUGGCAGAUUUGGAGGCUUUGGCAAUGGCUUCUGUUACCUUGCCAUGAGGUAACUCAGUUCCCUCAUCACUUUUCUCUGAGAACUAUAAAACCUUGGAGGGGUGCCUUCUGCCCUUCGCUUGGCAUGUAUAUUAUGCAGGGAUCAGGUCUUACUCCGUUCUUGAUUGUUAGUACAAAUUAGUUAAAAUUGUAUUGUUUGGCCUUAGCCUGAUGGUAAACACAACAGCACACGUGGGCUGUGAAAUCUCUGGGCAGCUCUGUGUUUCUAGGGAAGCAUCUCGAUGAUCCAGAACAGGCUUAUACUAAUGUUUUAGUGUAAUUUUGAAAUGAAAACACAGCAUUUAAAAAUUCUUAUAGAGAAUGUAUAGACCUUGAGAAGUGUUAGCAGACCCAGUUUACGACAUGUCUCAAUAUUAUGAAACAUUGCUUUAUUCCCUAUCCUGCUUGUACAUUUAAUUUUUUCAUCCAGUUUUAAACAACUUGGGUACUGUGGCCUGUGCCUGUAUUCCCAGCUACUAGGGAGGCUGAGGCAGGAGGAUUGCUUGAGCACAGGACUUUGAGGGCUGUAGUGAGCUGUGAUUGUGCCUGUGAAUAGCCAUUGUGCUCCAGCCUGGGCAACAUAGCAAGACCCUGAUACCUUGGGUUUUUAAAAAACAAAACAAGAUACAUGCUGACAUUUCUGGUUUGGCAGGCAGAGCUUGUUCUGCUCCCCACCCUCCCUUUUCCCAUAGUAACCAUUUAUAGGACAUCUCACUGUUGUCUACUCUGUGUUGCCUCUGCUUCCCUGCGUGGUAGAUCUAGGAAUCUUAGGAUUUCUUAGUUUUAGCUGGUGAUCCGUAUCUUUUUCUUAAUUCCAUUGUAACUUCAGCUUUUCUUAUUGCUUGUAGGAAGGCUGUUUCCAUUGAAUACAAACAAAAUAAAAGCUUUUAUUCUUAAUCUUAGAGAUAGGAUGUUUGUAUUUAAAAAUAAUUGUGCUGUCAAAAUUCUGUCAAGUUGGCUUUUACCACAUUAGUUUUUUUUAAUGUGGUUUAUAUGACCCUGGAGUACCUUGUCUUCUCACUGUUAAAUUCUCAACUGAGUUGUCCCUAUUUAAAGUGUGAGACUGUGCCAGUUUGAUUUUAAAAUAUUGCAAGUGCGUUAUGGCAAGAUAAAACUGCAAAGAAAGAACCUUCAUGUCCCUUUGAUUAUAAAUGCUUUUGGCACUUGUUUCUACUUUUUCCUAAUGUUUUUUGAGGAAAGAACCUCCAACUCUCCAGACAGGUCUGGGGGCAAAUGACUAAAACAUGAACUGAGGCCCUGGGCUGUCUCUGUGAGGAUAUCCCCUCUAUUCUCUCUGAAAUGUCCCAGCAUGUGGUGCAUUUCUUGUUAGUGUGGACUCCUCUGUAUAUAACACAUCUUAUUUAUCUUCUGUGCAUAACAUGAAGUAGUGCCCUAAUGCAAUUCCAGGAUGUAAUUCAGCAUUUCUAUAAAAAUACAGUGUUUUUCUACAUUUGCAUCAAAAAAUAACCAGAUAAUUAUAUUUAUUAAGAAAAUAGCAUUUUUGGCUGGGUGUGGUAGCUCACGUAAUCCCAGCACUUUGGGAGGCCGAGGCAGGCAGAUCACUUGAGGUCAGGAGUGAGGCAGGCAGAUCACUUGAGAUCAGGAGUUCGAGACCAGCCUGGCCAACAUGGUGAAACCCCAUCUCUACUAAAAAUGCAAAAUUAGCCUGGCGUAGUGGUGCAUGCCUGUAAUCCUAGCUACUCAGGAGACUGAGGCAGGAGAAUCACUUGAACUUGGGAAGGGGAGAUUGCAGUGAGCUGAGAUUGUGCCACUGCACUCCAGCCUAGGCAACAGAGUGAGACUCUGUUUCAAAAAAAAAAAAAAAAAACAAAGAAAAGAAAAGAAAGAAAGAAAUGUAUUUUUGGUAUUUGUUUUCACAAACUAGAGCAUUUAUGUGAAAUAACAUUGCUAGUAUUGAUAUUAUACCAUAGUAUAAUACUUAGUUCUUCAGCGAUGUAUCUCUGCUGAUCAGCUACAUGAUAUCUACUUGAGCUGUUGGAUUUUUUUUAAGAACAGUGCAUUUUUGAAUGCUUUUGAAAAAUUGUAGUAAAAUACAUAAAACAACAUUUACCUUGUAAGCAUUUUAAUUGGUACAAUUCAGUGACAUUAAGUACAGUCCCAGUUUAGUGCAACCACUGUUACUGUCUAGUUUCAGAACGUUUUUGCCCCAGAUGGAUACUCUGUACCUGUUGAACAUUCAGUCCUCAUGGCCCAAUAAUCUUUAUGUCUGUAUAGAUUUGCCUAUUCUGCAUAUUUUAUAUAAAUGGAAUCAUGUCUUUUGUGUCUGGCUUCUUUUACCUAGCAUAGUAUUUUCAAGGUUCAUCCAUGUUGCAGCAUGUUUCAAUACUUUGUUCCUUUUUAUGUCCAUUGUAUGGAUAUGCCACAUUUCGUUAAUGACAAUUCUUUUGGGUAGCUACAUUUUAAAACAUUAUAGUAGAAUACAUAUAGCAUACAAUUUACUAUCUUAACCAUUUAAGCCUGCAGUUCAGUGGCAUUAAAUACAUUCACGUUACUGUGCAAUUAUCACCACCAUCUGUUUGCAGAAACUUUUCAUCUCCUCCAUUUGAAACUCUGUAUACAUUAAACAUGAACUCUCCCUUCUCCCCUUCCUCCAGCCCUGGCAGCCACCGUUCUACAUUUUUAUCUUUCUGACAGAGAUUUUACUACUCUAGGUACCUCACAUAAGUGAAAUCAACCAGUAUUUAUCCUUUUGUGACCAGCUUAUUUCAUUAGCUUAAUGUCCUCAAGGUUCAUCCAUGUUGUAGCAUAUGUCAACAUGACUUUCCUUUUAAGGUUGAAUAAUAUUCCAUUGUAUGUAUAUGUCACAAUUUGUUUCUCCAUUUAUCCAUCACUGGACAUUUGGGUUGCUUUUACCUAUCGGCUGUCUUGAAUCAUGUUGCUAUAGCUGUACAAGUAUCUAUUUGAGUUUCUGCUAUCAAUUCUUUAAGUAUAUGCCCAGAAGUGGAAUUGCUGGAUCAUAUGGUAAUUCCGUGUCUGGUUUUUUUUUUGAGGAAGUGCCAUGCUGUUUUCCACACAGCUGUACCAUUGUACAUUCCCCCCAGCAAUGUACGAGGGCUCUGAUUUCUUCACAUCCUUGCUAACACUUAGUAUUUUUUUUGAUAGAAUAGCCAUCCUAAUGGCUACUUUUAAAGUAUGUUUAACAUUAUUUAUUUAUUUUUAAUUUUUUUUGUAGAGAUGGCAUCUUACUGUGUUGCCCAGGCUGGUCAUGAACUCCUGGGCUCAAGCAGUCCUCCUGCUUCAGCCUCCCAAAGUGUUCGGAUUAUAGGCGUGAGCCACCAUGCCCAGCCCAAAUUUAAAUAUAUAACUAAACACAUAGCAGCUAACACCAAGCCUUUAAAAAUAUCAUUAAUAGGCCAGGCGCAGUGGCUCAUGCCUGUAAUCCCAGCACUUUGGGAGGCCGAGGCGGGCAGAUCACCUGAGGUCGCGAGUUCGAGACCAGCCUGACCAACAUGGAGAAACCCUGUCUCUACUAAAAAUACAAAAUUAGCCGGGCAUGGUGGCACAUGCCUGUAAUCCCAGCUACUGGGGAGGCUGAGGCAGGAGAAUCACUUGAACCUGGGAGGCGGAGGUUGCGGUGAGUCGAGAUCGCACCAUUGCCCUCCAGCCUGGGCAACAAGAGCAAAACUCCAUCUCAAAAAAACAAACAAACAAACAAAAUAUAUAUAUCAUUAAUAGGCCGGGCAUGGUGUCUCACGCUUGUAAUCCCAGUGCUUUGAGAGGCCGAGGUGGGCAGAUCACUGGGGUCAGGAGUUCGAUACCAGCCUGGGCAACAUGGUGAAACCCUGUCUCUGCUAAAAAUACAAAAAUUAGCCACGCAUGGUGGUAAGCACCUGUAAUCCCAGCUACUCAGGAGGCUGAGGCUGGAGAAUGCUUGGACCUGGGAGGUGGAGGCUACAGUGAGCUGAGAUCACACUCCAGCCUGGGUGACAGAGCAAGACUCUGUCUCAAAAAAAAAAAAAAAAAUCAUUAAUAAAUGUGAUCUUUUUUCUUCCUAUACAACAAGUUGUCAAGCAAGUAUGACCUUCUUAAUUGACCCUUUGACAUGAACUGGGAUGAGAUCGUGGAGGAUGUUGAGGAGACAGUUGUUACCAUAGUGCACUUCUAAAAACUUUAAUUCUAUAGAUUUCUUUAAAAUUUUUUUUAAAAUUAUUAUGAGUACACAAUAGGUGCAUCUAUAGAUUUCAUUACCCUCAAAUAAAUGUACAAGGCAAUGCAGAGAAAUGCACAGUGUAACUUGGUAGACUUGACCUAUCAAGUUACUGUUGAAUAUAUUAUGGAGCCUGUGUAUUACCAGGGGCAGCAGACUUUUCCUGUAAAGAUAGUUGUUUUCAGCUUUGUUGAAUCUGUGGUCUCUGUCUUAACUACAACUGAGAAAGCCAUUGACAAUAUAUAGAUGAAUGUACAUGACUAUUCUAAUAAAACUGUGUACACUGUAAUUUGAAUUGCACAUAAUUUUCAUGUGUCUCCUGUAUAAUUCUUCUUUUGACUUCUUUUCAACCAUUAAAAAAUGUAAAAACAGGCCAGGCGUGGUGGCUCAUGCUUGUAAUCCCAGCACUUUGGGAGGCUGGGUGGAUUGCUGGAGCCCAGGAGCUUGAGAUCAGCCUGAGCAAUGUGAUGAAACCCUGUCUCUACAAAAAAUUAGCUGGGCAUGGUGUUAUGUGCCUGUGGUCCCAGCUACUUGGGAGGCUGAGGUAGGAGGAUUGCCUGAACCCGAGGAAGUCAAGGCUACAGUGGUUUGUGCCACUGCACUCUAGCCUAGGUGACAGAGUGAGACCCUGUCUCAGUGAAUGAAUGAAUACAUUAUUAGCUUGUGGACUAUACAAAAAUCAGAGGCUGGAGGUGAGCUGGGUAUGGCCAUUGGGUGUGGUUUGCUGACUUCUGGUAGAGAGGAAUUAGGAGAUGUUAAAGGUGGUGGAACUGUCAGAUACUUGCAUUCUUUUAGAAAUACUUUGGAGUUAGCUUUUUGGUUCAGGCAAAGGACCAAAGGGUUAGGAGAGUCAGGCCGGUAAAGAGGAGUGGUGGGCCCAUAGCAGCAGUUCCUGGAGUUUUUUUUUUUUUUUUUUUUUUGUGAGACGGAGUUUUGCUCUGUCGCCCAGGCUGGAGUGCAGUGGCACGAUCUCGGCUCACUGCAACCUCUGCCUCCUGGGCUCAAGCAAUUCUCCUGCCUCAGCCUCCCGAGUAGCUGGGACUACAGGUGCCCACCGCCACGCCCGGCCAAUUUUUUUCUAUUUUUAGUAGAGAUGGGAUUUCACCGUGUUUGCUAGGAUGGUCUCGAUCUCCUGACCUCGUGAUCCACCUGCCUCGGCCUCCCAAAGUGUUGGGAUUACAGGUGUGAGUCACCGCGCCUGGCCAGGUCCUGGAGUCUUUAAGAGGAGGUUUGUCUGAUGGUUGGUUGGACAAAAGCCUGGGCAUGUUGUCACCUUCCAUAAGUGUUUGUGGGAAUGUAGGUAAUGAGGAGGAGUAAAGGAUUCCUGAAGGAUGAGGAGGAGGGCUGGUGGCUGCCAUAGGAAGUGAUCACUGUUUUGGCAGACCUGUCUUAGAGUAAUGACCGUCAUACUCUCUCAUUGCCCUUGUGAACUCAUGAAAUCCCAUGGCUGCUAAAGCUGAAGGUCAAGUGGGGACUUCCCGGCCACUGGGCUUAGCACCCCACAGAGCUGUGGAGUGGGCAUUAAUGUCCCUUUUUUAUAGAUGCGGAGACUGAGAAUGAGGACUGUUGGUAACUUUUGAAAGGGCACUCAGCUAGAAAAGUCUGAGCCAGGAUUUCAAGUCCCAUGGCUUUACCUCUGUGGUCCUAAUAUUUGGUGUGUUCAAGUGAGAUCUGUUUUUUUCCUAUUUCAUUUUGAUUAUUGAUUUUCAUAAAUUUUUUUCUCUUUUGAGAUAGUAUCUUCUCUCUCUUUUCUUUUUUCUGUUCUUUCUUUCUCUUUUCUUUCUUUUUUUUUUUUUCUCUGAGACGGAGUCUUGCUCUGUCGCCCAGGCUGGAGUGCAAUGGUGCAAUCUCAGUUCACUGCAACCUCUGCCUCUCGGGUUCAAGCGAUUCUCCCAUCUCAGCCUCCUGAGUUGCUGAGAUUACAGGCACCUGCCAUCUUGCCUGGCUAGUUUUUGUAUUUUUGUAGAGACGGGGUUUCAUCACGUUGGCCAGGCUGGUCUUGAACUUCUGACCUCAGGCGAUCCACCCGCCUCUGCCUCCCAAAGCGCUGUGAUUAUAUGCAUGAGCCACCAUGCCUGGCCAUUAUUUCUUUCUUUCUUUCUUUUUCUUUUUUUCAGGUUCAUUGAAUUUGCUUUGAGACAGGGUCUUGCUCUGUUGCCCAGGCUGAAGCGCAGUGGUGCAGUCAUGGCUCACUGGAGCAUCAAUUUCCUGGGCUCAAGCGAUACUUGCACUUCAGCACCCCUCCACCCCCACCCGCUCCUUUCCCCCACAGUAGCUGGAACUACAGGCGCUAGCCACCGUGCUUGGCUAAUUUUUUUUUUUUUUUUUUUUUUGAGACGGAGUCUCGCUCUGUCACCCAGGCUGGAGUGCAGUGGCGCGAUCUCGGCUCACUGCAAGCUCUGCCUCCCAGGUUCACAUCAUUCUCCUGCCUCAGCCUCCC